RNAcentral lists this ribosomal RNA (253 nucleotides) under uncultured bacterium. RNAcentral's name for it is "partial 16S ribosomal RNA". It matches the Rfam family "Bacterial small subunit ribosomal RNA", at positions 524 to 776 of the family's 1533-position model. The record is from RNAcentral.
UACAGAGGGGGCAAGCGUUGUUCGGAAUUACUGGGCGUAAAGGGCGCGUAGGCGGCCUUCUAAGUCGAACGUGAAAUCCCUGGGCUCAACCCAGGAACUGCGUCCGAUACUGGAAGGCUUGAAUCCGGGAGAGGGAUGCGGAAUUCCAGGUGUAGCGGUGAAAUGCGUAGAUAUCUGGAGGAACACCGGUGGCGAAGGCGGCAUCCUGGACCGGCAUUGACGCUGAGGCGCGAAAGCCAGGGGAGCAGACGGG